AUACGGAGGGUGCAAGCGUUAAUCGGAAUUACUGGGCGUAAAGCGCGCGUAGGCGGUUUGUUAAGCAAGAUGUGAAAGCCCUGGGCUCAACCUGGGAACUGCAUUUUGAACUGGCAAGCUAGAAUACUGUAGAGGGUGGUGGAAUUUCCAGUGUAGCGGUGAAAUGCGUAGAGAUUGGAAGGAACAUCAGUGGCGAAGGCGGCCACCUGGACAGAUAUUGACGCUGAGGAACGAAAGCGUGGGGAGCGAACCGGAUUAGAAACCCCAGUAGUCC
RNAcentral lists this ribosomal RNA (274 nucleotides) under uncultured bacterium. RNAcentral describes it as "partial 16S ribosomal RNA". It matches the Rfam family "Bacterial small subunit ribosomal RNA", at positions 523 to 796 of the family's 1533-position model. The record is from RNAcentral.